RNAcentral lists this transfer RNA (68 nucleotides) under Euprymna sp. Type 1 GS-2021. RNAcentral's name for it is "tRNA-Gln". It matches the Rfam family "tRNA". From Rfam's summary of the family: Transfer RNA (tRNA) molecules are approximately 80 nucleotides in length. Their secondary structure includes four short double-helical elements and three loops (D, anti-codon, and T loops). Further hydrogen bonds mediate the characteristic L-shaped molecular structure. tRNAs have two regions of fundamental functional importance: the anti-codon, which is responsible for specific mRNA codon recognition, and the 3' end, to which the tRNAs corresponding amino acid is attached (by aminoacyl-tRNA synthetases). tRNAs cope with the degeneracy of the genetic code in two manners: having more than one tRNA (with a specific anti-codon) for a particular amino acid; and 'wobble' base-pairing, i.e. permitting non-standard base-pairing at the 3rd anti-codon position. The record is from RNAcentral. Lineage: Eukaryota; Metazoa; Mollusca; Cephalopoda; Sepiida; Sepiolidae. RNAcentral also lists the same sequence under 1 other name.
UACAUUGUAGUGUAUGUGCACGUAAAUUUUUGAUUUUUAAAGUAAAAGUUCAAUUCUUUUUGAUGUAA